GGAUGAACGCUGGCGGCGUGCUUAACACAUGCAAGUUGAGCGAUUUACUUCGGUAAAGAGCGGCGGACGGGUGAGUAACGCGUGGGUAACCUACCCUGUACACACGGAUAACAUACCGAAAGGUAUGCUAAUACGGGAUAAUAUAUUUGAGAGGCAUCUCUUAAAUAUCAAAGGUGAGCCAGUACAGGAUGGACCCGCGUCUGAUUAGCUAGUUGGUAAGGUAACGGCUUACCAAGGCGACGAUCAGUAGCCGACCUGAGAGGGUGAUCGGCCACAUUGGAACUGAGACACGGCCCAGACUCCUACGGGAGGCAGCAGUGGGGAAUAUUGCACAAUGGGGGAAACCCUGAUGCAGCAACGCCGCGUGAGUGAUGAAGGUUUUCGGAUCGUAAAGCUCUGUCUUUGGGGAAGAUAAUGACGGUACCCAAGGAGGAAGCCACGGCUAACUACGUGCCAGCAGCCGCGGUAAUACGUAGGUGGCGAGCGUUAUCCGGAUUUACUGGGCGUAAAGGGAGC
This 516-nucleotide ribosomal RNA is filed under the name uncultured Clostridium sp. RNAcentral's name for it is "bacterial SSU rRNA". It matches the Rfam family "Bacterial small subunit ribosomal RNA", at positions 27 to 570 of the family's 1533-position model. Lineage: Bacteria; Bacillati; Bacillota; Clostridia; Eubacteriales; Clostridiaceae. The record is from RNAcentral.